UAGGAUUAGAUACCCUAUUAUUAAAAUUUAAAUUGAAAAUACUAAAAUAGUAGAUAAUUAUUUAUUGAAACUUAAAUAAUUUGGCGGUAUUUUAGUUCAUUUAGAGGAAUCUGUUUAAUAAUUGAUAAUCCACGAAUAAAUUUACUUAAUUUUUUAUUUUGUAUAUCGUUGUUAAAAAAAUAUUUUUUAAUAAUAAUAAUAUUUAAAAAUUUUGAUUAAAAAUUAAAUCAGAUCAAGAUGCAGAUUAUAAUUAAGAAUAUAAUGGAUUACAAUAAAUUUAUUUAGAUGAAUAUUAAUUUGUAAAAGUUAAUUGAAGGUGGAUUUAAA
This 327-nucleotide ribosomal RNA is filed under the name Spodoptera frugiperda (fall armyworm). Its description in RNAcentral is "partial small subunit ribosomal RNA". Lineage: Eukaryota; Metazoa; Arthropoda; Insecta; Lepidoptera; Noctuidae. The record is from RNAcentral.